This 404-nucleotide ribosomal RNA is filed under the name uncultured bacterium. RNAcentral describes it as "bacterial SSU rRNA". It matches the Rfam family "Bacterial small subunit ribosomal RNA", at positions 355 to 775 of the family's 1533-position model. The record is from RNAcentral.
UAGGGAAUAUUAGUUAAUGUGCGAAAGCGCGAACUAGCAACGCCGCGUGUGCGAUGAAGGCCUUCGGGUUGUAAAGCACUUUUCCAGAGGACGAGGAAGGACGGUACUCUGGGAAUAAGCAUCGGCUAACUACGUGCCAGCAGCCGCGGUAAAACGUAGGAUGCAAGCGUUAUCCGGAUUUACUGGGCGUAAAGCGCGUGUAGGCGGUUCGGUAAGUUGGAUGUGAAAGCUCCUGGCUUAACUGGGAGAGGUCGUUCAAUACUGCCGAGCUAGAGGAUGGUAGAGGGAGGUGGAAUUCCGAGUGUAGUGGUGAAAUGCGUAGAUAUUCGGAGGAACACCAGUGGCGAAAGCGGCCUCCUGGACCAUUUCUGACGCUCAGACGCGAAAGCUAGGGUAGCAAACGG